ACGCUAGCGAUAGGCUUAACACAUGCAAGUCGAGGGGCAGCAUGGUCUUAGCUUGCUAAGACUGAUGGCGACCGGCGCACGGGUGCGUAACGCGUAUGCAACUUGCCUCACAGAGGGGGAUAACCCGUCGAAAGACGGACUAAUACCGCGUACACUCCAGCUUGGGCAUCCAAGCUAGAGGAAAUGAAAUUCGCUGUGAGAUAGGCAUGCGUCCCAUUGGCUAGUUGGUGAGGUAACGGCUCACCAAGGCGACGAUGGGUAGGGGAACUGAGAGGUUGAACCCCCACACUGGUACUGAGACACGGACCAGACUCCUACGGGAGGCAGCAGUGAGGAAUAUUGGUCAAUGGGCGAGAGCCUGAACCAGCCAAGUCGCGUGAAGGAUGACUGUCUUAUGGAUUGUAAACUUCUUUUAUACGGGAAUAACAAGAGUCACGUGUGGCUCCCUGCAUGUACCGUAUGAAUAAGCAUCGGCUAACUCCGUGCCAGCAGCCGCGGUAAUACGGAGGAUGCGAGCGUUAUCCGGAUUUAUUGGGUUUAAAGGGUGCGUAGGCGGCCUGUUAAGUCAGCGGUGAAAUCUAGGAGCUUAACUCCUAAAUUGCCAUUGAUACUGGCGGGCUUGAGUGUAGAUGAGGUAGGCGGAAUGCGUGGUGUAGCGGUGGAAUGCAUAGAUAUCACGCAGAACUCCGAUUGCGAAGGCAGCUUACUAAGGUACAACUGACGCUGAAGCACGAAAGCGUGGGUAUCAAACAGGAUUAGAUACCCUGGUAGUCCACGCAGUAAACGAUGAUAACUGGGCGUAUGCGAUAUACAGUAUGCUCCUAAGCGAAAGCGUUAAGUUAUCCACCUGGGGAGUACGCCGGCAACGGUGAAACUCAAAGGAAUUGACGGGGGCCCGCACAAGCGGAGG
This 910-nucleotide ribosomal RNA is filed under the name uncultured bacterium. Its description in RNAcentral is "bacterial SSU rRNA". It matches the Rfam family "Bacterial small subunit ribosomal RNA", at positions 33 to 935 of the family's 1533-position model. The record is from RNAcentral.